Molecule: ribosomal RNA, 497 nt
Filed under: uncultured bacterium
Lineage: Bacteria
Description: partial 16S ribosomal RNA
Rfam family: Bacterial small subunit ribosomal RNA
Source: RNAcentral
GAUGAACGCUGGCGGCGUGCCUAAUACAUGCAAGUCGAGCGAACGGACGCGACGCUUGCUUCUCUGUUGUUUGCGGCGGACGUGUGUGUAACACGUGUAUAACCUACCUAUCAUACUGGUAUAACUUCGGGAAACCGGCGCUAAUACCGGAUAAUAUCUUGAACCGCAUUGUUCAAAAGUGAAUGACGGUCUUGCUGUCUCUUCUCGCUGGAUCCGCGCUGCAUUAGCUAGUUGUUAAGGUAACGGCUUACCACGGCAACGAUGCAUAGCCGAAGUGAGAGGGUGAUCGGCGACAUGAGAACUGGGACACGCACAAGAGGCCUGAGGGACGGAGCAGAAGGGAAUGGGAGGCAAUGGGCGAAAGCCUGACGGAGCAGGGCCGAGUGAGUGAUAGAGGUGUUCGGAUCGUGAUGAUCGGUUAUGAGGGAAGAACAUAUGUGUAAGGAGCUGUGCAGAGCGUGACGGUACCUAAUAAGAAAGCAACGGCUAACUACGUG